RNAcentral lists this ribosomal RNA (468 nucleotides) under uncultured bacterium. RNAcentral's name for it is "partial 16S ribosomal RNA". It matches the Rfam family "Bacterial small subunit ribosomal RNA", at positions 28 to 508 of the family's 1533-position model. The record is from RNAcentral.
GACGAACGCUGGCGGCGUGCUUAACACAUGCAAGUCGAACGGAAAGGCCCUGCUUUUGUGGGGUGCUCGAGUGGCGAACGGGUGAGUAACACGUGAGUAACCUGCCCUUGACUUUGGGAUAACUUCAGGAAACUGGGGCUAAUACCGGAUAGGAGCUCCUGCUGCAUGGUGGGGGUUGGAAAGUUUCGGCGGUUGGGGAUGGACUCGCGGCUUAUCAGCUUGUUGGUGGGGGAGUGGCUUACCAAGGCUUUGACGGGUAGCCGGCCUGAGAGGGUGACCGGCCAGUUUGGGAUUGUGUAGCGGCCAGACCGCCGCGGGGAGGCAUCAGGGGGGAAUGUUGCAAAAGGGCCGGCACCCUGAUGACGCAACGCGCCGUGGGGGAUGACGGCCUUGGGUUUGUAAACCGCUUCGCCCUGUGAAAAAGCGUGGGUGCGGUAAUUGGGAAAAGAGCCACCGCCAACCUCCGUC